UAAUUAAUAAGAAAAAGAAAAAGAAAAAGAAAAGAAAAGAUUUAGAGAAGGGGAAGUUGAGUCAAUUAAAGUUUCUAUGCUUAUGAUUGAUACACAGAUUAUAAGUCCUUGAUACAAGACUGAAUGUAUAAUUAAUGCUUGUCACAGUUGGGCAAGAAGUUAGGAAACAAGAAGAAGUCCCCCACUGGCUACUGUAGAUUUUGAAUGUGUAUCAGGACCGUGCCGGAUUGGCAGGUGAGCGGGAGUUAUGUACCUUGCACCAUGAGUAUUUUUAAUUCAUUUUCAUGAAUGUCGCCAAGUGUGAAUUGAUUCCACUUGAGCAUAUUGAUUCAUAUUGUAGUAGAUUUUUUUAUAAUCUUGUUUCUCCAUGCUUGAUUAUUUUGUACAUGCAUUUGAGGAAAUAUUGAGAGGAAUUACAAGGAGUAAAAGAGUAGUCAAAUUGGUUCCGAGUUGUGAAAUGAUUUUUUUUGUAAAUUGAUUUCAUUUCCUCUAUUUCAAAGACUUGUAGAGCCUUUCAGUGGUAUAUUGAGUUGCAUUGCACUCCCUUGACUCCUCGCUCCCAACCCUGAUGUUAGUUUAUGAUUGGAUUGUAGUCGAGUGAGUGGUAGUCUUGAUUAUACUCCUUUAUAGUUGAGUAUUGGGAAGGUGCAUUUUGUCAUUUAUGCAUGGCUUGGCAGUAUCUACAGGAUACCUAUAGUCGAUGGGGUUAGACAUCGGCCUAUGUGCACAUAGUUGUCCCCUGGGUGGACGCAACCCAGUCCCUUCCUAGGGAGGACACGGCCGUAGGCGUAGGAUUGGCCGGUCCUGCG
This 809-nucleotide long non-coding RNA is filed under the name Phoenix dactylifera (date palm). Its description in RNAcentral is "long non-coding RNA (PDAC_LNC015905)". The record is from RNAcentral. Lineage: Eukaryota; Viridiplantae; Streptophyta; Magnoliopsida; Arecales; Arecaceae.